Molecule: non-coding RNA, 1269 nt
Organism: Rattus norvegicus (Norway rat)
Lineage: Eukaryota; Metazoa; Chordata; Mammalia; Rodentia; Muridae
Source: RefSeq, a predicted model, not a curated record
ACAUCAUCAUCAUUAGGUCCUUCCCGAAAAAUAUCUUGUAACCUGGAGAGCCCUAGCUCCUUCUGUGAGGUCAGAAGUGUUGUUGUGACAGCACCUGCUUCUCAGAUAUUCCUUCAGUACAUCUAGGGUUUGUAACUGGCCUUUAAUUCAGAGUAAACAGCCAUUUUUUAGGGAGAGCAAAGAGGAUGAAAGGAUCCAAGAAGAGGAGAAGGAAGCUGCCCUUCUGUCAUGGUAUAAAAAAGGAAGAAAUACAUGGUCCACUGGAGAGCUCAGUGAAUCCUGGGAACCUAUUGAGGUUGAUGUUUAACUGGACCUCAAGCCAUUCCUCUCACUGCCCAUCCUCCUAAGUAUGAUGUAUGGCCUGAAGAAAUAAUCAUGGUGGGAACACAGCUUUUCUGAUGUCUGGAAAUUUUUGGAUAAACUAAGGAUUUGGAAGUUCAUCAUUGGAAGUAGGUACAUAAUAUUUACAUUUUUAUAUUCAACGUUAGGUGGGACCCUUGGGUUGCCAAAAUCAUUGCAAAAAAACAUGAAAUUGGAAAACAGAAUUUUUCACUUCACAUUCAGGAAUAUAUAAAGUCACCUAUCAAGGAAUGUACAAUGAGAAACUGUAAUGAAAUAUGAAUUCAAUUAAAGGAUUGUAGGGAAAAUGCUGGCCUUUGGGAAACAGAGAUAACCUAGGAUAUUGAACUGUAUGUCAUAGUAAUGGACCUGGUAAUAAAAUUAUUAUCCAGAGGAAUCUCUUCCACUCCAUAUUCCGAGAUCUUUUCUACCCAUGCAAAGCUCCUGAUUAUCUUUUCCUUUCAGAGCAUGUAACCACUAAGGAAAUAAAGAGAAGUUUCUAGCUUUAAAGACAUGUAGUAUGAAAAGGUUUCCAUUGUUUCACAGGAGACAAACCUUGCAAGGGCACCCUCGAAUCUGGUCAUUGAAAGGAAAACACUUUAGCAGGUAGGCCAUGGCAAUUCUCAGUGACAUCACCAUUAGGCCUAUCUAAAAAAAUCUGUUGUAUCCUGGAGAUCCCUAGUUUCUUCUGUGAUGUAACAAGUGUUGUCCUGACAGAAGUUGCCUCUCCAGUAGUCCUUCAGUACCUCUAGGGUUUACUAUUUGGCCUCUAAUUCAGCAUAAACAGCCUUUGGGAAGGAGAAAAAAGAGGAUGAAGUGAUCAAAGAUGGGAAGAAGGAAGCUGGCCUUCUGCUUUGUUAUAAAAAAAAAGAAAUAUGUGGUCCAUGGGAAAUCUCAGUCAUUUCUGGGUAGUGGUUGAGAAGGUUUGCU